Molecule: long non-coding RNA, 323 nt
Filed under: Musa acuminata (dwarf banana)
Lineage: Eukaryota; Viridiplantae; Streptophyta; Magnoliopsida; Zingiberales; Musaceae
Description: long non-coding RNA (MACU_LNC010445)
Source: RNAcentral
AUUCUCAAAGGCAAGUGUUCUAACCCCAUCCUACAGAAGUAUUAGUCUAUGUUCCUAUAUUGAUUCUGAAAGAUUUAUGCUUAGAAUCUGAUAUUUCUCUCUUUGGACAUAAAACCAAGGAUCUGAAAUUUUUUCGGUAAACUGACCCCUAUGCACUGUUUCAGCUAUAAAUUUUAGCACCAAAUGUGGAUUCAGGCAAGACCUAGCUCGUUUGAAAUUAGACUCUUAUAUCUUUCUUUUGACACUGAUUUUAUAGAUUUUGGAUACUGAAUACUUACCCAAACGUCUGUUUCAAAUGAGCCUAUAGAUGCUGCAGAACAGGG